This 75-nucleotide transfer RNA is filed under the name bacterium. RNAcentral describes it as "tRNA-OTHER". It matches the Rfam family "tRNA". Rfam says of the family: Transfer RNA (tRNA) molecules are approximately 80 nucleotides in length. Their secondary structure includes four short double-helical elements and three loops (D, anti-codon, and T loops). The record is from RNAcentral.
AGGAAAGUACCUCAAUUGGCAGAGGACCCGGAGUAAUGACCCGGACAGCUGAGGGUUCAAGCCCCUCCUUUCCUA